GGCACAGAAAAGUGUAACUAAAGAGAAAAUUUCCUAUGUCCCUGAUGGAUCGAGAGUGCACUACUGGGCUGUGCUGAGAGCUGGCCAAAUCACAGCAAUUAAAAGAGAGGCCUCAGAGUUGAGGAACAGGGGCUCUGUGACCCAGGCUGACCAGUGACAGGAUUUCUGUGGUGCUCACAGCCAAAUGGCAUUAGGACUUGAGUUACUCCCGACACUUGCUUGAAAAGAACUGGUGGUUGGCUUCGAUGCUGUCAUAUCCCCUGGGGCUCAAGCUAAGGGAUGAGGCUCCGGGCCACCCUCCUCGCCCAUCCUCGACCCCCAGAAGCCCAAUGAGUCCCAGAGCACACUUUGUGGAUUAGACAGACCGGUGGUCACAGAAGAAAUGUGCUUUUCUUAGCACAAAGCCAGUCGUGAGCAGGACCAGACGCAUGAGGAGGCCCCUGAUUGCCUGCAGAUGUCUGAACGACACCCAACUGGCAGGCCUGUGCUCUCUUUCAGAUCUGGCUUCCAUUCCUGUGGCGUGUGAGACGAGGGGACCCUUCUUCAGGGACUCGUGGGCAGUGUGCCGAGAGCUCGAUGGAAACUACUCCUCCCUUUGGAAGAUGGAACCAGAAGAGGAAACCGCCCUACACCUGUAGCUGACCUUUGCAAUAGAAAGCUUCAACUCUAAACCUAGGCCUGUGGGAGCUGCCCCAGUUCCAGGCACACAAGGCAAAUGGCUACAUCCUUGCUGCCUCAGGCCUCCUCAAAAUGCAUCUUCCAGGGACCGAGAAUCCACCCUGCUCCACAAGGAAACAUGUGAGCGUCAGCCAGACACCUUCUCCUCCAUCAUCUCCCGCAGUCCUUCCAUGUCUAAUUCCUGAAACCCAGAUGUCUGCUUCAGGAGCCUAAAAUAAAGUCUCAACUGUUUCACCGUCA
Molecule: long non-coding RNA, 918 nt
Filed under: Felis catus (domestic cat)
Lineage: Eukaryota; Metazoa; Chordata; Mammalia; Carnivora; Felidae
Description: lncRNA (ENSFCAG00000050394.1)
Source: RNAcentral